AAGUAAAAACAACGUGGAUGUAGAAAAGAGAGAGAGGACAAGAUACACACUAGAGAGCCUUCGCAUAUUAGAGAAUAGAAAAAGAACGAUGAAUACAAAAGAAGACACAGAUGAUAUUGCGGCUACUUAUUUAUUAUGUUUGUGACAAGAAAAUCAGUAUGACAAGUGUACCAAACGAUAAUGGUACAAUGCUCUAGCUUUUAAGUGUUUAUGUUUUAGUGUUUAUAUGUUUAUGUGUUUAUAUGUUAACAAAUAUACGUAUAUGAAAAUUGGCCCCUGAGGAUGCUAAGGAGUUUAGCGAAACGUAGGGCAAAGCAGUGAAGAAAAAACGUUGUUUUUACUUGCACUAAUCACCAACUAGGCCAAAGAAGCUCAUCAAAAUUAAUAAAA
This is a long non-coding RNA of Rhagoletis pomonella (apple maggot), 390 nucleotides long. RefSeq lists it as uncharacterized. Lineage: Eukaryota; Metazoa; Arthropoda; Insecta; Diptera; Tephritidae. The transcript is spliced from 2 exons. The record is from RefSeq and is a predicted model, not a curated record.